GACGAACGCUGGCGGCGUGCCUAAUACAUGCAAGUAGAACGCUGAAGGAGGAGCUUGCUUCUCUGGAUGAGUUGCGAACGGGUGAGUAACGCGUAGGUAACCUGCCUUGUAGCGGGGGAUAACUAUUGGAAACGAUAGCUAAUACCGCAUAAUAGUAGAUGUUGCAUGACAUUUGCUUAAAAGGUGCAAUUGCAUCACUACUAGAUGGACCUGCGGUGUAUUAGCUAGUUGUGGUGGUAACGGCUUUCCCAGGCGACGCUACGUAGCCGACCUGAGAGGGGGAGCAGCCACACUGGGAGGGAGACACGGCCCAGACUGCUUCGGGAAGCAGCAAGAGGGAAACUUCGGCAAUGGGCGGAAGACUGACCGAACAAGGCCGCGGGAGGGAAGAAGGUUUUCGGGUCGUAAAGCUCUGUUGUAAGAGAAGAAAGAGAGUGAGAGUGGAAAGUUCACACUGUGACGGUAGCUGACCAGAAAGCGACGGCUAACUACGUG
RNAcentral lists this ribosomal RNA (495 nucleotides) under uncultured bacterium. RNAcentral describes it as "partial 16S ribosomal RNA". It matches the Rfam family "Bacterial small subunit ribosomal RNA", at positions 28 to 507 of the family's 1533-position model. The record is from RNAcentral.